GUCCACGCCCUAAACGAUGUCAACUGGUUGUUGGGUCUUCACUGACUCAGUAACGAAGCUAACGCGUGAAGUUGACCGCCUGGGAGUACGGCCGCAAGGUUGAAACUCAAAGGAAUUGACGGGACCCGCACAAGCGGUGGAUGAUGUGGUUUAAUUCGAUGCAACGCGAAACCUUACCCACCUUUGACAUGUACGGAAUCCUUUAGAGAUAGAGGAGUGCUCGAAAGAGAGCCGUAACACAGGUGCUGCAUGGCUGUCGU
This 260-nucleotide ribosomal RNA is filed under the name uncultured bacterium. Its description in RNAcentral is "partial 16S ribosomal RNA". It matches the Rfam family "Bacterial small subunit ribosomal RNA", at positions 793 to 1055 of the family's 1533-position model. The record is from RNAcentral.